RNAcentral lists this ribosomal RNA (397 nucleotides) under uncultured bacterium. RNAcentral's name for it is "bacterial SSU rRNA". It matches the Rfam family "Bacterial small subunit ribosomal RNA", at positions 521 to 916 of the family's 1533-position model. The record is from RNAcentral.
UAAUACGUAGGGUGCGAGCGUUAAUCGGAAUUACUGGGCGUAAAGCGUGCGCAGGCGGUUGUGUAAGACAGGUGUGAAAUCCCCGGGCUUAACCUGGGAACUGCGCUUGUGACUGCACGGCUAGAGUAUGGCAGAGGGGGGUGGAAUUCCACGUGUAGCAGUGAAAUGCGUAGAGAUGUGGAGGAACACCGAUGGCGAAGGCAGCCCCCUGGGCCAAUACUGACGCUCAUGCACGAAAGCGUGGGGAGCAAACAGGAUUAGAUACCCUGGUAGUCCACGCCCUAAACGAUGUCGACUAGGUGUUCGGUGAGGAGACUCAUUGAGUACCGCAGCUAACGCGUGAAGUCGACCGCCUGGGGAGUACGGUCGCAAGAUUAAAACUCAAAUGAAUUGACGG